UACGUAGGGGGCAAGCGUUGUCCGGAUUUAUUGGGCGUAAAGAGCGUGUAGGCGGUUUGGUAGGUCCGCUGUGAAAACUCGAGGCUCAACCUCGAGACGCCGGUGGAAACCAUCAGGCUAGAGUCCGGAAGAGGAGAGUGGAAUUCCUGGUGUAGCGGUGAAAUGCGCAGAUAUCAGGGAGAACACCCGUGGCUAAGGCGGCUCUCUAGUACGGUACUGACGCUGAGACGCGAAAGCGUGGGGAGCGAACAGG
Molecule: ribosomal RNA, 253 nt
Filed under: uncultured bacterium
Lineage: Bacteria
Description: partial 16S ribosomal RNA
Rfam family: Bacterial small subunit ribosomal RNA
Source: RNAcentral